GGAGAGGUGGCCGAGUGGCUGAAGGCGCACGCUUGGAAAGCGUGUUUACAUCACAAGUGUAACGAGGGUUCGAAUCCCUCUCUCUCCGC
RNAcentral lists this transfer RNA (89 nucleotides) under Flavobacteriales bacterium UBA1986. RNAcentral's name for it is "tRNA-Ser(gga)". It matches the Rfam family "tRNA". From Rfam's summary of the family: Transfer RNA (tRNA) molecules are approximately 80 nucleotides in length. Lineage: Bacteria; Pseudomonadati; Bacteroidota; Flavobacteriia; Flavobacteriales. The record is from RNAcentral.